GCGUAGGGUAUGUAGGCGGUAAAUUAAAAGUAGAGUAAAAGACUGAAGUAGACCUUCUUUAUUCUCUAUUCACUGUUUUACUGAGUUCUCGUGGCGAGGUUUGAAUUCCUUAAGAAAGAGUAAAAUUGUUGAUAUUGGAAGACAUUCGAAGGCGGAAGCGAUAAUCGAGCGAGAUCUGACGCUAAGUACUAAAGCAUGGGUAUGAAAAGGAUUAGAGACCUUGUAGUCCAUGCCUUAAACAAUGAGUGUUCAACGUCUUAAAACAAUUUUCUUUUUUUUAAUUUUUAUUAAAAUAGAAAACGGAGUUUUAGGGGGUUUAAAGCUAACGCGUGAAACACCGCCUGGGGAAUGUAGCCGCAAGGUUAAACUCAAAGGAAUUGACGGAGGCUUGUACAAGG
RNAcentral lists this ribosomal RNA (398 nucleotides) under Comatricha nigra. RNAcentral's name for it is "SSU rRNA". It matches the Rfam family "Bacterial small subunit ribosomal RNA", at positions 558 to 930 of the family's 1533-position model. Lineage: Eukaryota; Evosea; Eumycetozoa; Stemonitida; Stemonitidae. The record is from RNAcentral.